Molecule: ribosomal RNA, 603 nt
Filed under: Vibrio kanaloae
Lineage: Bacteria; Pseudomonadati; Pseudomonadota; Gammaproteobacteria; Vibrionales; Vibrionaceae
Description: bacterial SSU rRNA
Rfam family: Bacterial small subunit ribosomal RNA
Source: RNAcentral
GAGCCGUGGCUUUCGGAGCUAACGCGUUAAGUAGACCGCCUGGGGAGUACGGUCGCAAGAUUAAAACUCAAAUGAAUUGACGGGGGCCCGCACAAGCGGUGGAGCAUGUGGUUUAAUUCGAUGCAACGCGAAGAACCUUACCUACUCUUGACAUCCAGAGAAUCCAGCGGAGACGCAGGAGUGCCUUCGGGAGCUCUGAGACAGGUGCUGCAUGGCUGUCGUCAGCUCGUGUUGUGAAAUGUUGGGUUAAGUCCCGCAACGAGCGCAACCCUUAUCCUUGUUUGCCAGCGAGUCAUGUCGGGAACUCCAGGGAGACUGCCGGUGAUAAACCGGAGGAAGGUGGGGACGACGUCAAGUCAUCAUGGCCCUUACGAGUAGGGCUACACACGUGCUACAAUGGCGCAUACAGAGGGCAGCGAGCCAGCGAUGGUAAGCGAAUCCCAAAAAGUGCGUCGUAGUCCGGAUUGGAGUCUGCAACUCGACUCCAUGAAGUCGGAAUCGCUAGUAAUCGUGAAUCAGAAUGUCACGGUGAAUACGUUCCCGGGCCUUGUACACACCGCCCGUCACACCAUGGGAGUGGGCUGCAAAAGAAGUAGUUAGUCU